AAUUCCUUUGUGAAUGUAUGAUGAUAAGUUGCAUGCAUUCUUAUCCAUGUGUAUUCCUUAUUGAACAACUAUGAGGUAUUAGUAUGCAUUCCCUAUACAUUUACAUGUUUAUGACAUUCAAGUGAUUGACGAGAUAUCGUAUUGAUUGUGUUGUGAAUGAAAGUCCAUUGUCAUGAUACUGAAGUGUGGUCCUGUCUAAUUUAUUUAU
RNAcentral lists this long non-coding RNA (208 nucleotides) under Capsicum annuum. RNAcentral describes it as "long non-coding RNA (CANN_LNC011353)". The record is from RNAcentral. Lineage: Eukaryota; Viridiplantae; Streptophyta; Magnoliopsida; Solanales; Solanaceae.